RNAcentral lists this ribosomal RNA (790 nucleotides) under Ligilactobacillus salivarius. RNAcentral's name for it is "bacterial SSU rRNA". It matches the Rfam family "Bacterial small subunit ribosomal RNA", at positions 38 to 800 of the family's 1533-position model. Lineage: Bacteria; Bacillati; Bacillota; Bacilli; Lactobacillales; Lactobacillaceae. The record is from RNAcentral.
GGGGGAGCGCGGCUAUCUGCAGUCGACGAAACUUUCUUACACCGAAUGCUUGCAUUCACCGUAAGAAGCCGAUUGGCGGACGGGUGAGUAACACGUGGGUAACCUGCCUAAAAGAAGGGGAUAACACUUGGAAACAGGUGCUAAUACCGUAUAUCUCUAAGGAUCGCAUGAUCCUUAGAUGAAAGAUGGUUCUGCUAUCGCUUUUAGAUGGACCCGCGGCGUAUUAACUAGUUGGUGGGGUAACGGCCUACCAAGGUGAUGAUACGUAGCCGAACUGAGAGGUUGAUCGGCCACAUUGGGACUGAGACACGGCCCAAACUCCUACGGGAGGCAGCAGUAGGGAAUCUUCCACAAUGGACGCAAGUCUGAUGGAGCAACGCCGCGUGAGUGAAGAAGGUCUUCGGAUCGUAAAACUCUGUUGUUAGAGAAGAACACGAGUGAGAGUAACUGUUCAUUCGAUGACGGUAUCUAACCAGCAAGUCACGGCUAACUACGUGCCAGCAGCCGCGGUAAUACGUAGGUGGCAAGCGUUGUCCGGAUUUAUUGGGCGUAAAGGGAACGCAGGCGGUCUUUUAAGUCUGAUGUGAAAGCCUUCGGCUUAACCGGAGUAGUGCAUUGGAAACUGGAAGACUUGAGUGCAGAAGAGGAGAGUGGAACUCCAUGUGUAGCGGUGAAAUGCGUAGAUAUAUGGAAGAACACCAGUGGCGAAAGCGGCUCUCUGGUCUGUAACUGACGCUGAGGUUCGAAAGCGUGGGUAGCAAACAGGAUUAGAUACCUGGGUAGUCCAAAA